RNAcentral lists this ribosomal RNA (477 nucleotides) under uncultured bacterium. RNAcentral's name for it is "partial 16S ribosomal RNA". It matches the Rfam family "Bacterial small subunit ribosomal RNA", at positions 28 to 523 of the family's 1533-position model. The record is from RNAcentral.
GACGAACGCUGGCGGCGUGCUUAACACAUGCAAGUCGAGCGGAGAUAAUAGCAAUAUUAUCUUAGCGGCGGACGGGUGAGUAACGCGUGGGCAACCUGCCUCGGACUGGGGGAUAACACAGGGAAACUUGUGCUAAUACCGCAUAACAUCAUGAGAUGACAUCAUCAUAUGAUCAAAGGAGUAAUCCGGUUUGAGAUGGGCCCGCGUCCGAUUAGCUAGUUGGUGUGUAACGGACCACCAAGGCGACGAUCGGUAGCCGAACUGAGAGGUUGAUCGGCCACAUUGGGACUGAGACACGGCCCAGACUCCUACGGGAGGCAGCAGUGGGGAAUAUUGCACAAUGGGGGAAACCCUGAUGCAGCAACGCCGCGUGAAGGAUGAAGGUUUUCGGAUUGUAAACUUCUUUGAUGAGGGACGAAUAAAUGGCGGUACCUCAAAAACAAGCCACGGCUAACUACGUGCCAGCAGCCGCGGUAA